GGGUUCGUAGCGUAUUACUGCACGUCUAGCGGACGAUGGGAGCUUGCUCCCUGAUGUUAGCGGCGGACGGGUGAGUAACACGUGGGUAACCUGCCUGUAAGACUGGGAUAACUCCGGGAAACCGGGGCUAAUACCGGAUGGUUGUCUGAACCGCAUGGUUCAGACAUAAAAGGUGGCUUCGGCUACCACUUACAGAUGGACCCGCGGCGCAUUAGCUAGUUGGUGAGGUAACGGCUCACCAAGGCGACGAUGCGUAGCCGACCUGAGAGGGUGAUCGGCCACACUGGGACUGAGACACGGCCCAGACUCCUACGGGAGGCAGCAGUAGGGAAUCUUCCGCAAUGGACGAAAGUCUGACGGAGCAACGCCGCGUGAGUGAUGAAGGUUUUCGGAUCGUAAAGCUCUGUUGUUAGGGAAGAACAAGUGCCGUUCAAAUAGGGCGGCACCUUGACGGUACCUAACCAGAAAGCCACGGCUAACUACGUGCCAGCAGCCGCGGUAAUACGUAGGUGGCAAGCGUUGUCCGGAAUUAUUGGGCGUAAAGGGCUCGCAGGCGGUUUCUUAAGUCUGAUGUGAAAGCCCCCGGCUCAACCGGGGAGGGUCAUUGGAAACUGGGGAACUUGAGUGCAGAAGAGGAGAGUGGAAUUCCACGUGUAGCGGUGAAAUGCGUAGAGAUGUGGAGGAACACCAGUGGCGAAGGCGACUCUCUGGUCUGUAACUGACGCUGAGGAGCGAAAGCGUGGGGAGCGAACAGGAUUAGAUACCCUGGUAGUCCACGCCGUAAACGAUGAGUGCUAAGUGUUAGGGGGUUUCCGCCCCUUAGUGCUGCAGCUAACGCAUUAAGCACUCCGCCUGGGGAGUACGGUCGCAAGACUGAAACUCAAAGGAAUUGACGGGGGCCCGCACAAGCGGUGGAGCAUGUGGUUUAAUUCGGAUGCAACGCGUAGAACCUUACCAGGUCUUGACAUCCUCUGACAAUCCUAGAGAUAGGACGUCCUCUUCGGGGGCAGAGUGACAGGUGGUGCAUGGUUGUCGUCAGCCUCGUGUCGUGAC
Molecule: ribosomal RNA, 1053 nt
Filed under: uncultured bacterium
Lineage: Bacteria
Description: bacterial SSU rRNA
Rfam family: Bacterial small subunit ribosomal RNA
Source: RNAcentral